AUUGAACGCUGGCGGCAUGCUUUACACAUGCAAGUCGGACGGCAGCGGGGUAGUGCUUGCACUACUGCCGGCGAGUGGCGAACGGGUGAGUAAUAUAUUGGAACGUACCGAGUAAUGGGGGAUAACCAAUCGAAAGAUUGGCUAAUACCGCAUACGCUCUGAGGAGGAAAGCAGGGGACCUUCGGGCCUUGCGUUAUUCGAGCGGCCAAUAUCUGAUUAGCUAGUUGGUGGGGUAAGGGCCUACCAAGGCGACGAUCAGUAGCGGGUCUGAGAGGAUGAUCCGGCACACUGGGACUGAGAAACGGCCCAGACUCCUACGGGAGGCAGCAGUGGGGAAUUUUGGACAAUGGGCGGAAGCCUGAUCCAGCCAUGCCGCGUGUCUGAAGAAGGCCUUCGGGUUGUAAAGGACUCUUGUUAGGGAAGAAAAAGGAGCGGUUAAUACCCGUUUCUGCUGACGGUACCUAAAGAAUAAGCACCGGCUAACUACGUG
Molecule: ribosomal RNA, 490 nt
Filed under: uncultured bacterium
Lineage: Bacteria
Description: partial 16S ribosomal RNA
Rfam family: Bacterial small subunit ribosomal RNA
Source: RNAcentral